GACGAACGCUGGCGGCGUGCUUAGCACAUGCAAGUCGAACGGAAAGGCCCUGCUUUUGUGGGGUGCUCGAGUGGCGAACGGGUGAGUAACACGUGAGUAACCUGCCCUUGACUUUGGGAUAACUUCAGGAAACUGGGGCUAAUACCGGAUAGGAGCUCCUGCUGCAUGGUGGGGGUUGGAAAGUUUCGGCGGUUGGGGAUGGACUCGCGGCUUAUCAGCUUGUUGGUGGGGUAGUGGCUUACCAAGGCUUUGACGGGUAGCCGGCCUGGGAGGGUGGCCGGCCACAUUGCGACUGCGAGAGGGACCAGACUCCUACGGGACGCAGCAGUGGAAAGUAUUGCGCAGUGGGCGGAAGCCUGAUGCAGCGACGCCGCGUGCGGGAUGACGGCCUUCUGGUUGUAAACCACUUUCGACUGUGACGAAGCGUGAGUGACGGUAAUGGGUAAAGAAGCACCGGCUAACUACGUG
This 468-nucleotide ribosomal RNA is filed under the name uncultured bacterium. Its description in RNAcentral is "partial 16S ribosomal RNA". It matches the Rfam family "Bacterial small subunit ribosomal RNA", at positions 28 to 507 of the family's 1533-position model. The record is from RNAcentral.